RNAcentral lists this long non-coding RNA (534 nucleotides) under Brachypodium distachyon (stiff brome). RNAcentral describes it as "long non-coding RNA (BDIS_LNC000736)". The record is from RNAcentral. Lineage: Eukaryota; Viridiplantae; Streptophyta; Magnoliopsida; Poales; Poaceae.
GUGAAUGGAGCAACAGAUGAUGAGAUCGAAUUUCAACCCGACUUGGAUGAGGAAUCAAAUUUUGUAAGUCCCCGUACCUUCUGUACUUCAUUUGUUUUUGUGUUUGUACAAUGCUCAUACCUAAUUUCAUAUUUAGGAGCACGAAUUUCAGGUAGAUUUGGUUCAUCCGGUGGAUGCACCAUACUUUGUAGACCUACAGGAAGAAGUUGCUGAAAAUGAGAUGUAGACCUAGUGGAAAUCAACAACAAGAAGGUACUGGAAGGAAAGAUGGGAAUGUUGGGCAUCUGUCCGAUGAAGGUUCAACCACCGAAAGUACUAAGAAAGUUGGAGUUCAGGGGAAAGCAGUCGGUACUGAUGGUGGAGACAUGAAGAGGCGGAAGAUGGAGUAGCUGGAGUAGCUUAUGGAGUGAGUUAGAUUUGGGUGAACUCUGUUUUGUUAGUGUACUACGUUGUGUACUUGGAAGUACCUGAAUGUACAAAGUUCUUAGGAACGUUCAGUACGUAGGUGAUCGAUCUGGAAUUGUUUAAAUUUUG